RNAcentral lists this ribosomal RNA (262 nucleotides) under uncultured bacterium. RNAcentral describes it as "partial 16S ribosomal RNA". It matches the Rfam family "Bacterial small subunit ribosomal RNA", at positions 92 to 353 of the family's 1533-position model. The record is from RNAcentral.
CGACCGGCGCACGGGUGAGUAACACGUAUCCAACCUGCCCUUUACUCGGGGAUAGCCUUUCGAAAGAAAGAUUAAUACCCGAUGGCAUAAUGAUUCCGCAUGGUUUCAUUAUUAAAGGAUUCCGGUAAAGGAUGGGGAUGCGUUCCAUUAGGUUGUUGGUGAGGUAACGGCUCACCAAGCCUUCGAUGGAUAGGGGUUCUGAGAGGAAGGUCCCCCACAUUGGAACUGAGACACGGUCCAAACUCCUACGGGAGGCAGCAUG